UGUACUUGGUGAGACUUUUUCAAUGGUGAUAUGGUCGAAGCUUGAGGAGUUGUACAUGGCGAAGUCCCUCAAAAUACUCUCUUCCUUUAGAGGUAGUUCUACCAACUGUGGAUGACUGUGGGACAGAGCAUGCAAGAGCAUCUCAACCACUUUAAGAAGAUCCUCAUCGUCUUCAGCGUUGGUGAGAAAGUUAAAGAGAAGAUCAGGAUGCUAGUCUUGCUAGCAUCACUUUCUUCUUCGUAUGAGUCC
This 249-nucleotide long non-coding RNA is filed under the name Elaeis guineensis (African oil palm). RNAcentral describes it as "long non-coding RNA (EGUI_LNC039975)". The record is from RNAcentral. Lineage: Eukaryota; Viridiplantae; Streptophyta; Magnoliopsida; Arecales; Arecaceae.